RNA transcript from Salvelinus fontinalis (brook trout), 5528 nucleotides. It is a transcript of the gene named phospholipid-transporting ATPase IH-like, with no coding region annotated. Lineage: Eukaryota; Metazoa; Chordata; Actinopteri; Salmoniformes; Salmonidae. The record is from RefSeq and is a predicted model, not a curated record. The transcript is spliced from 32 exons.
AAUUUCAAUACGCAGGCGCAGCAUAGCAUUCCGACGUAUGGAAGCAAUGAACAUUUCGCAUUUUCUCCCUCCAGAUGGAAGAACCAUAACAGAUCGAAAAGGCAGCGGGACUGGGGGGAAAGACUGAAGUGAAAGGAGUUUUCCAGAAGGACAAGAAGAUAAACGCACUCUUGGAACAAACAACCAAUGGAAGAGGUGAAAAUAAGCUGUUCGAAAGCCCUUGCAAUGAUCCGUUUUGCAAACGUUUAUUCGUUGUGAAAAGGGACAUUCUGGAAACUAUGAAUCAAGGAUAGCAGUACAGUCACAUUUAACAGCUGCAUGGCUGUCCAAAGUGCAAACAUGAAAGGAUGACAUGGAAAUCAGAACAUCCGACUGAAAGACCACUGCUUUCUCACGCUCAUAUAGAUGGAGAGACAGUGCUUGUGAACGAUGUAUGCUGGAGGAGAGAUGCACAUUAGGUAGCGUCGGUAAAUAUCCAAGGAAACUGGAAAGUGGACAGUAAAGAAUAGCUGGUGGGGAGCUGUCAAAAGGAUGGAUUUUAGCGUACUACGGAAUCUCAUCAGUAGAUACUGUGCUGGGGAGGAGUACUGGGUGGACAGCCGGACAGUAUACAUCGGUCACAAAGAACCCCCGCUGGGGGCCGAUGCCUACAUCCCUCAGCGUUAUCCCGACAACCGCAUUGUCUCUUCCAAGUACACCGUAUGGAACUUCAUCCCCAAGAACCUGUUUGAACAGUUCAGAAGAAUCGCCAACUUCUAUUUCCUGCUCAUCUUCCUGGUCCAGCUCAUCAUAGACACGCCUACCAGCCCCGUCACCAGCGGACUGCCUCUAUUCUUUGUCAUCACCGUCACUGCCAUUAAACAGGGUUAUGAAGACUGGCUGAGACACAAGGCAGACUGCAGUAUAAAUGAGUGUCCUGUGGACGUGGUGAAGGAAGGGACGGUGGUGAGGACACAGAGUCACAAGCUACGGGUGGGGGACGUUGUCAUGGCGAGUGAAGAUGAGACGUUCCCCUGUGACCUCAUCCUGCUCUCAUCCAGCCGCGAUGACGGAACCUGCUACGUCACCACCACCAGCCUGGAUGGCGAGUCCAGCCACAAGACCUACUAUGCUGUACCGGACACCAUGGCCUUUAAGACAGAGCAGGAGGUGGACUCUCUACAUGCGACUAUUGAAUGUGAACAACCACAGCCUGAUCUCUACAAAUUUGUGGGGCGCAUCAAUAUUUAUAAGGAAAGUGAAGAUCCCAUAGCCAGACCCCUGGGAGCUGAGAACCUUCUCCUCAGAGGAGCCACCCUGAAGAACACAGAACACAUUUAUGCUGUAGCCAUCUACACGGGCAUGGACACCAAGAUGACGCUGAACUACCAGUCCAAAUCCCAGAAACGCUCCGCUGUAGAAAAGUCUAUGAACGCAUUCCUCAUAGUGUAUCUGUGUAUCCUGAUCAGUAAAGCGGUCAUUAACACGGUUCUGAAGUACGCGUGGCAGUGGUUUGCUGACCACGACCAACCCUGGUACAACCACAGGACCGAGAUCGACAGAGAACGCCACGUGGUGAUCAGGGCGUUCACAGACUUCCUGGCCUUCAUGGUGUUGUUUAACUACAUCAUUCCAGUCUCCAUGUAUGUUACCGUGGAGAUGCAGAAGUUCCUGGGGUCUUACUUCAUCGCCUGGGACAAGGAUAUGUACGAUGAUGAGCUGGGGGAGGGGGCUCAGGUCAACACAUCAGACCUCAAUGAAGAGCUGGGACAGGUGGAGUAUGUGUUUACUGAUAAGACGGGGACGUUGACAGAGAACAACAUGGAGUUUAUAGAGUGCUGUGUGGACGGACACGUCUAUAUCCCCCACGCCAUCUGUAAUGGACAGAUCCUCAGUGCUGCUUCCAGCAUAGACAUGAUCGACUCCUCACCUGGAGGAGACCACAGGGAGCAUGAGGAGCUGUUCUUCCGGGCUCUGUGUCUGUGCCACACGGUGCAGGUGAAGGAGGAGGGGACAGUGGAUAGCAUCAAGAGAGGGAUCCACCAGGGAAAACCCACCUCCUUCUACAUAUCAUCUUCUCCUGAUGAGGUGGCCCUGGUGGAGGGCGUGAAGAGGUUGGGGUACACAUAUCUAAGACUCAAAGACCGUCAUAUGGAGAUUCUCAAUAAGGAGGAUGAGAUUGAGAGGUUUGAGCUGCUUCACGUGCUGAACUUUGACUCUGUCAGGAGGAGAAUGAGCGUCAUUGUCAAGUCUAGUGCAGGGGAGUACCUGUUGUUCUGUAAGGGGGCUGACUCCUCCAUCUUCCCCAGGGUGGUGUCAGGGAAGGUGGGGCAGGUGAGGGCGCGGGUGGAGCAGAACGCUCUGGAGGGCUUGCGGACCCUGUGUGUGGCAUACAGAAGUCUCUCCCUAGCAGAGUACGAGGAGGCGUGUCAUCAGCUGAGCGACGCCAAGCUAGCCCUGCAGGACAGGGAGCAGCGACUGGCGCAGGCUUAUGACCUCAUCGAGAGGGACUUCACCCUGCUGGGGGCCACGGCUGUGGAGGACAGGCUCCAGGAGAAGGCAGCAGACACCAUCGAGUCUCUCCACAAGGCUGGGAUGAAGGUGUGGGUCCUGACUGGGGACAAGAUGGAGACGGCGGCUGCUACAUGUUAUGCUAGCAAGCUGUUCCGCCGCUCCACCCAAAUAUUGGAGCUGACCAAGAAACGCACCGAGGAACAGAGUCUACAUGAUGUUCUGUUUGACCUGAGCAGAACCGUACUGAGACAGCGCUCCCUGUCGGGGCUGUCUGUAGACUGUCAGGACUAUGGUCUGAUCAUCGAUGGGGCCACCCUGUCUGCGGUGCUGAAGCCCAGUCCAGAGAGCUCUGGCUCUGGGAACUACAGAGAGAUCUUCCUGGAGAUCUGUAGGAACUGCAGCGCCGUUCUCUGCUGCCGCAUGGCGCCCCUACAGAAAGCACAGAUUGUGAAGCUGAUCAAGGCAUCUAAGGAGCACCCCAUCACUCUGGCCAUCGGAGACGGAGCCAACGACGUCAGCAUGAUCCUCGAGGCACACGUGGGCAUCGGCAUCAUGGGUAAGGAGGGUCGCCAGGCAGCGAGGAACAGCGACUAUGCCAUCCCAAAGUUCAAACACCUGAAGAAGAUGCUGCUAGUUCACGGCCACUUCUACUACAUCCGCAUCGCUGAGCUGGUGCAGUACUUCUUCUAUAAGAAUGUGUGCUUCAUCUUCCCUCAGUUCCUCUAUCAGUUCUUCUGUGGAUUCUCUCAGCAGCCCCUGUACGACACAGCCUACCUGACGCUGUACAACAUCAGCUUCACCUCCCUGCCCAUCCUCCUCUACAGCCUCAUAGAGAAACACAUCAGCAUAGAGACACUGAAGAGAGACCCCACUCUGUACAGGGACAUAACUAAGAACUCUCUCCUGCGCUGGCCCGUGUUCCUGUACUGGACAUGCCUGGGCUUAUUCGACGCCUGUAUCUUCUUUUUUGGUGCCUACUUCCUGUUCGACAACACCACCUUCACUAGCAACGGACAGCUUAUGACCACCAACACACAGAUGAUGUUUGGGAACUGGACUUUCGGGACUCUCGUCUUUACUGUGCUGGUGUUCACGGUCACGCUGAAGCUUGCCUUGGACACACACCACUGGACCUGGAUCAACCACUUUGUCAUCUGGGGCUCCCUGCUUUUCUAUGUCAUCUUCUCUCUGCUCUGGGGAGGCAUCAUCUGGCCUUUCCUGAACUACCAGAGGAUGUACUAUGUGUUCAUGCAGAUGUUGUCCAGCGGUCCAGCUUGGCUCAGCAUCAUCCUGCUCAUUAUGGUCAGCCUGCUGCCUGAUGUGGUCAAGAAGGUCCUCUGCAGAACACUGUGGCCCACCGCCACUCAUCUUGCACAGUCCAAUCGCCCGUGCCUUACCGUGGAGCCGUCCACCAUCUUCGUGCUUUCUCAGUCCGAUAGCAGAUUGAGUUUCUGAUUGGCCGAGAGACUGCAGAGGAGGAGGAGUGUUCCCAUCCAGGUCUCUCACCAUCCAGGUCUCUCACCAUCCAGGUCUCUCACCAUCCAGGGCUCUCACCAUCCAGGGCUCUCACUAUCCAGGUCUCUCACCAUCCAGGGCUCUCACCAUCCAGGGCUCUCACCAUCCAGGUCUCUCACCAUCCAGGGCUCUCACCAUCCAGGGCUCUCACCAUCCAGGUCUCUCACCAUCCAGGGCUCUCACCAUCCAGGUCUCUCACUAUCCAGGGCUCUCACCAUCCAGGGCUCUCACCAUCCAGGGCUCUCACCAUCCAGGGCUCUCACCAUCCAGGGCUCUCACCAUCCAGGGCUCUCACCAUCCAGGUCUCUCACCAUCCAGGUCUCUCACCAUCCAGGUCUCUCACCAUCCAGGUCUCUCACCAUCCAGGGCUCUCACCACCCAGGGCUUCCAUUUCAAACAAUUCAACUCAAUUACCAGACAAUACUAUCAUUCACACUGCUAUAUAUGCUACUGCUGACCAUGCUACAGCUGAUAACAGGUUGUACUAAUUUUGAUCCUUCUGUUAGCAUCCUGCUAGCCUAACAAUCUCACCCAGUACCAUACAGCAUCUCUUCUAUUCAUGUUCCUCUAUGGAUGCUGUUCAAAUGUAUCUACUGGAAAUUGAUGUAUAAAAUGUACAUGAAUGUGUUAUUCCAUCCAAAUGCUAACUUGGACUGAUGUUUUGUUUUCUACACUGGAGUAAUCCUCAGCAGGACACUGGGAAGUUGAAGGGCUAUCAUUGCAUGCCACAUACAGUUUGUUACAGUUCAAUGGUUCACCGCAUGGCUUCUAUUUAGAACCUCCUGGUUCCUGACCCCUGCUCACCCUACUGUUUGCCCACAGAGGGUGAAGGCUGAUGGGGAGUGUGUCCUCUGCCCCGGACGCCAGUCCUGUUGGAGGUGGAGGCAGUGAGAGAGACAUGCUUUGCCCUGCUAGGACCUGUGAGAGGGACAGAGGAGGUGGAGGGGUGCAAGCUACCAGGACCUAUGACUCCAUGAUGUCACACAACCCUAACUACCUGCUCAGCCAGCCCCUAGACCAUUCCCCAACAGAGAACUAGGGUUGCUACGGACGUUGACAAGCUGUUGCAGGCCAGUGUAGCAGAGUUGACCCCCGUGCUCUCAUGCCCUUCUGGCCCUUCCUCCAAACGGAAGAGCACUGACUCCUCCCACCUCCACAUCAGGGUUCCGAAGCCCCUCCCACUCCACAGGUCUGAGUCCUUCCCCCACAAACUACUAUUGGCCCACUGGAAUGAUGGGGGCUGGACAGACCGCUGGCUUUGCCUACUACGCACCGGGGCCAGAGACCUUUGUGUGACACACCCUCACACACACAAACACACACACAGGCUAAUGUGUGAACACACACAAAACGAUGUGCUCACAAAACGAUGUGCACACACACUAGAGACCAAUGUGAUCUAAACCUACAGCUUAGGAUGUGGAAGGAUUUGUAUUCCACUAAUAAACAAUGCAAACACACACACACAUAUGAAAAAUAAUUCACACAUCCUGAAAAACAUUAAACAUCUUCAAACAAUU